UAUUCAGAAUGGCCUUGGUCA
This 21-nucleotide microRNA is filed under the name Cavia porcellus (domestic guinea pig). RNAcentral's name for it is "cpo-miR-892-5p". Its record names the gene cpo-miR-892-5p. Lineage: Eukaryota; Metazoa; Chordata; Mammalia; Rodentia; Caviidae. The record is from miRBase by way of RNAcentral.